RNAcentral lists this ribosomal RNA (764 nucleotides) under Staphylococcus aureus. RNAcentral's name for it is "bacterial SSU rRNA". It matches the Rfam family "Bacterial small subunit ribosomal RNA", at positions 63 to 809 of the family's 1533-position model. Lineage: Bacteria; Bacillati; Bacillota; Bacilli; Caryophanales; Staphylococcaceae. The record is from RNAcentral.
CGAGCGAACGGACGAGAAGCUUGCUUCUCUGAUGUUAGCGGCGGACGGGUGAGUAACACGUGGAUAACCUACCUAUAAGACUGGGAUAACUUCGGGAAACCGGAGCUAAUACCGGAUAAUAUUUUGAACCGCAUGGUUCAAAAGUGAAAGACGGUCUUGCUGUCACUUAUAGAUGGAUCCGCGCUGCAUUAGCUAGUUGGUAAGGUAACGGCUUACCAAGGCAACGAUGCAUAGCCGACCUGAGAGGGUGAUCGGCCACACUGGAACUGAGACACGGUCCAGACUCCUACGGGAGGCAGCAGUAGGGAAUCUUCCGCAAUGGGCGAAAGCCUGACGGAGCAACGCCGCGUGAGUGAUGAAGGUCUUCGGAUCGUAAAACUCUGUUAUUAGGGAAGAACAUAUGUGUAAGUAACUGUGCACAUCUUGACGGUACCUAAUCAGAAAGCCACGGCUAACUACGUGCCAGCAGCCGCGGUAAUACGUAGGUGGCAAGCGUUAUCCGGAAUUAUUGGGCGUAAAGCGCGCGUAGGCGGUUUUUUAAGUCUGAUGUGAAAGCCCACGGCUCAACCGUGGAGGGUCAUUGGAAACUGGAAAACUUGAGUGCAGAAGAGGAAAGUGGAAUUCCAUGUGUAGCGGUGAAAUGCGCAGAGAUAUGGAGGAACACCAGUGGCGAAGGCGACUUUCUGGUCUGUAACUGACGCUGAUGUGCGAAAGCGUGGGGAUCAAACAGGAUUAGAUACCCUGGUAGUCCACGCCGUAAACGA